Molecule: ribosomal RNA, 1445 nt
Filed under: uncultured bacterium
Lineage: Bacteria
Description: bacterial SSU rRNA
Rfam family: Bacterial small subunit ribosomal RNA
Source: RNAcentral
AGAGUUUGAUCCUGGCUCAGGAUGAACGCUGGCGGCGUGCUUAACACAUGCAAGUCGAACGAACCUUCGGGUUAGUGGCGGACGGGUGAGUAACGCGUGAGAAUCUGCCCUCAGGAGGGGGAUAACAGUUGGAAACGACUGCUAAUACCCCAUAUGCCGAGAGGUGAAAUGAAUUUCGCCUGGGGAUGAGCUCGCGUCUGAUUAGCUUGUUGGUGGGGUAAUAGCCUACCAAGGCUUCGAUCAGUAGCUGGUCUGAGAGGACGAUCAGCCACACUGGGACUGAGACACGGCCCAGACUCCUACGGGAGGCAGCAGUGGGGAAUUUUCCGCAAUGGGCGAAAGCCUGACGGAGCAACGCCGCGUGAGGGAUGGAGGCCUUUGGGCUGUAAACCUCUUUUCUCAAGGAAGAAGAUCUGACGGUACUUGAGGAAUAAGCCACGGCUAAUUCCGUGCCAGCAGCCGCGGUAAUACGGGAGUGGCAAGCGUUAUCCGGAAUUAUUGGGCGUAUAGCGUCCGCAGGCGGCCGUUUAAGUCUGUUGUUAAAUCGUGGAGCUCAACUCCAUCACGGCAAUGGAAACUGUUCGGCUUGAGUAUGGUAGGGGCAGAGGGAAUUUCCGGUGUAGCGGUGAAAUGCGUAGAUAUCGGGAAGAACACCAGUGGCGAAAGCGCUCUGCUGGGCCAUUACUGACGCUCAUGGACGAAAGCCAGGGGAGCGAAAGGGAUUAGAUACCCCUGUAGUCCUGGCCGUAAACGAUGAACACUAGAUGUUGGGGGAAUCGACCCCCUCGGUGUCGUAGCUAACGCGUUAAGUGUUCCGCCUGGGGAGUACGCACGCAAGUGUGAAACUCAAAGGAAUUGACGGGGGCCCGCAUAAGCGGUGGAGUAUGUGGUUUAAUUCGAUGCAACGCGAAGAACCUUACCAAGGCUUGACAUCCUGCGAAUCUCUAAGAAAUUAGAGAGUGCCUUCGGGAACGCAGUGACAGGUGGUGCAUGGCUGUCGUCAGCUCGUGUCGUGAGAUGUUGGGUUAAGUCCCGCAACGAGCGCAACCCACGUUUUUAGUUGCCAGCAUUCAGUUGGGCACUCUAGAAAGACUGCCGGUGACAAACCGGAGGAAGGUGUGGACGACGUCAAGUCAUCAUGCCCCUUACGCCUUGGGCUACACACGUACUACAAUGCUGCGGACAAAGAGUAGCGAUCUUGCGAAAGUUAGCUAAUCUCACAAACCGUGGCUCAGUUCAGAUCGUAGGCUGCAACUCGCCUACGUGAAGGAGGAAUCGCUAGUAAUCGCAGGUCGGCAUACUGCGGUGAAUACGUUCCCGGGCCUUGUACACACCGCCCGUCACACCAUGGAAGUUGGCCAUGCCCGAAGUCGUUACUCUAACCUUUUGGAAGAGGGCGCCGAAGGCAGGGCUAAUGACUGGGGUGAAGUCGUAACAAGGUAACC